CGUAGGGGCAAGCGUUGUCCGGAAUCAUUGGGCGUAAAGAGCGUGUAGGCGGUCCGGUAAGUCGGUUGUGAAAGUCCAGGGCUCAACCCUGGGAUGCCGACCGAUACUGUCGGACUAGAGUUCGGAAGAGGCGAGUGGAAUUCCCGGUGUAGCGGUGUAAUGCGCAGAUAUCGGGAGGAACACCAAUGGCGAAGGCAGCUCGCUGGGACGUUACUGACGCUGAGACGCGAAAGCGUGGGGAGCAAACAGGAUUAGAUACCCUGGUAGUCCACGCCGUAAACGAUGGGCACUAGGUGUGGCGGGUGUCGACUCCCGCCGUGCCGCAGCUAACGCAUUAAGUGCCCCGCCUGGGGAGUACGGCCGCAAGGCUA
Molecule: ribosomal RNA, 371 nt
Filed under: uncultured organism
Description: bacterial SSU rRNA
Rfam family: Bacterial small subunit ribosomal RNA
Source: RNAcentral